This is a non-coding RNA of Xenorhabdus poinarii, 134 nucleotides long. The record is from Rfam. Lineage: Bacteria; Pseudomonadati; Pseudomonadota; Gammaproteobacteria; Enterobacterales; Morganellaceae.
ACGUCAAGAUAAUGAGGCGUUCAUCCUGACACUUAUCAGGCACUGAACGGGGAGCAUGUCAUCGCCGUGCUGAGCACGCCGCGAGCUCCUGCAAUAACUCAACACUCCCUCGCCCUGCUACACAUUAUCUGACG